This is a long non-coding RNA of Cygnus olor (mute swan), 658 nucleotides long. RefSeq lists it as uncharacterized. The transcript is spliced from 3 exons. The record is from RefSeq and is a predicted model, not a curated record. Lineage: Eukaryota; Metazoa; Chordata; Aves; Anseriformes; Anatidae.
GCAGGUUUUCCCCUUAAGGAACAGAUUGUUAUGUAAUAGAAGAAGGAAGACAUCAUGAUGACCUAUCAAACUGUUGUCUUGUGCGCCUCUCCUGACACUUGCAGUAACAUGGCUCAAAGUGAUAGUUACUACAAAUGCAAGGAAGGGCGAGGAGGGAGGAAAAUUCACUCCAGUUGCUUCCCUGAGAGAGUGUCAGCUACCACUCUUCAAUAAACAGCUAAAAUCAGAUAAGGUCCUGAUUCCUGGCCUUAAGUAUGACCAUACCAAUUUCUCCUGCUGUAUGAUCACUUUCCAUUCCAAUGUGCAGGGAAGGAAACAUUAUAUGUGCACAAGAGCCCAUAGUUGAGCACAGAGGAGAGCAGAAUUUUAUAGCAUACAAAGAAAGAAGGGUGAGGAGUCUUGUAUUACCUUUCCACAAGGUGUCAGGUAGGCUACCCACCUCUCUUUCAGUUGACAUGAAAUAUGAGGGGUGCCAUGGCUCCUCACAAAAUGUCUAUGAACUAUAAAUCAUCCCUUGGCUAGGCUAGGACUCUAGGACUGCCCUUGUAUUCUUCUGUUGUAGAAGUGACACAGACAGAAAUGGUCCCCUGAUGCCCUCUGUCUUCUUUCAGCAUUCUUGUAACAAAACAUGGCUGGUCAGAAGCAGACACUGAUUGUG